AGAAAAGUAAGCUAAACAAAGCUAAUGGGUUCAUACCCCAUUUAUAGAGGCACCCUCUCUUCUCUG
This 66-nucleotide transfer RNA is filed under the name Anaplecta calosoma. Its description in RNAcentral is "tRNA-Met". Lineage: Eukaryota; Metazoa; Arthropoda; Insecta; Blattodea; Anaplectidae. The record is from RNAcentral.